CCUACGGGGGGCAGCAGUGGGGAAUCUUGCGCAAUGGGCGAAAGCCUGACGCAGCGACGCCGCGUGUGUGAUGAAGGCCUUCGGUUGUAAAGCACUGUGGAGAGAGUGGCGGUAUCUCCUUAGCAAGCACCGGCUAACUCUGUGCCAGCAGCCGCGGUAAGACAGAGGGUGCAAACGUUGUUCGGAAUUACGGGCGUAAAGCGUGUGUAGGCGGCUAGGUAAGUCGGAUGUGAAAGCCCUGGGCUCAACCCAGGAAGUGCACUCGAUACUGCUUAGCUAGAGUACCGGAGAGGUUGGUGGAAUUCUCGGUGUAGAGGUGAAAUUCGUAGAUAUCGAGAGGAACACCGGUGGCGAAGCGGCCAACUGGACGAGACUGACGCUGAGACACGAAAGCGUGGGGAGCAAACAGGAUUAGAUACCCUUGUAGUC
Molecule: ribosomal RNA, 429 nt
Filed under: uncultured bacterium
Lineage: Bacteria
Description: partial 16S ribosomal RNA
Rfam family: Bacterial small subunit ribosomal RNA
Source: RNAcentral